UACGAAGGGUGCAAGCGUUACUCGGAAUUACUGGGCGUAAAGCGUGCGUAGGUGGUUUGUUAAGUCUGAUGUGAAAGCCCUGGGCUCAACCUGGGAAUUGCAUUGGAUACUGGCAGGCUAGAGUGCGGUAGAGGAUGGCGGAAUUCCCGGUGUAGCAGUGAAAUGCGUAGAGAUCGGGAGGAACACCGGUGGCGAAGGCGGUUCUCUGGGCAUUACCUGACGCUGAGGCACGAAGGUCAGGGGAGCAAACGGG
Molecule: ribosomal RNA, 253 nt
Filed under: uncultured bacterium
Lineage: Bacteria
Description: partial 16S ribosomal RNA
Rfam family: Bacterial small subunit ribosomal RNA
Source: RNAcentral